RNAcentral lists this microRNA (26 nucleotides) under Caenorhabditis elegans. RNAcentral describes it as "cel-miR-1820-5p". Lineage: Eukaryota; Metazoa; Nematoda; Chromadorea; Rhabditida; Rhabditidae. The record is from miRBase by way of RNAcentral.
UUUUGAUUGUUUUUCGAUGAUGUUCG